GGGGAUAUAGCUCAGUUAGUAGAGUGUUUGCAUGACAUGCACAAAGGCCCUGGGUUCAAUCCCCAGCACCAUUU
RNAcentral lists this transfer RNA (74 nucleotides) under Ictidomys tridecemlineatus (thirteen-lined ground squirrel). RNAcentral describes it as "Spermophilus tridecemlineatus (thirteen-lined ground squirrel) tRNA". It matches the Rfam family "tRNA". Rfam says of the family: Transfer RNA (tRNA) molecules are approximately 80 nucleotides in length. Their secondary structure includes four short double-helical elements and three loops (D, anti-codon, and T loops). Lineage: Eukaryota; Metazoa; Chordata; Mammalia; Rodentia; Sciuridae. RNAcentral also lists the same sequence under 1 other name. The record is from Rfam by way of RNAcentral.